GACGAACGCUGGCGGCGUGCUUAACACAUGCAAGUCGAACGGAAAGGCCCUGCUUUUGUGGGGUGCUCGAGUGGCGAACGGGUGAGUAACACGUGAGUAACCUGCCCUUGACUUUGGGAUAACUUCAGGAAACUGGGGCUAAUACCGGAUAGGAGCUCCUGCUGCAUGGUGGGGGUUGGAAAGUUUCGGCGGUUGGGGAUGGACUCGCGGCUUAUCAGCUUGUUGGUGGGGUAGUGGCUUACCAAGGCUUUGACGGGUAGCCGGCCUGAGAGGGUGACCGGCCACAGUGGGACUGAGAGACGGCCCAGACUCCUACGGGAGGCAGCAGUGGGGAAUAUGGCACAAUGGGCGGAAGCCUGAUGCAGCAACGCCGCGUGCGGGAUGACGGCCUUCGGGUUGUAAACCGCUUUCGCCUGUGACGAAGCGUGAGUGACGGUAAUGGGUAAAGAAGCACCGGCUAACUACGUG
Molecule: ribosomal RNA, 468 nt
Filed under: uncultured bacterium
Lineage: Bacteria
Description: partial 16S ribosomal RNA
Rfam family: Bacterial small subunit ribosomal RNA
Source: RNAcentral